RNAcentral lists this unclassified non-coding RNA (211 nucleotides) under plant metagenome. RNAcentral describes it as "partial contains small subunit ribosomal RNA, internal transcribed spacer 1, and 5.8S ribosomal RNA". The record is from RNAcentral.
UUUCCGUAGGUGAACCUGCGGAAGGAUCAUUCAUAAUAAAGUGUUUUAUGGCACUUUUUAAAAAUCCAUAUCCACCUUGUGUGCAAUGUUAGAUCUCGUCAAUCUUGGCGAGAUUUUUAUACAUCAACUCAUUCUUUAACUGAUUUGUCUGAAAAAUAUUAUGAAUACUUAAUUCAAAAUACAACUUUCAACAACGGAUCUCUUGGCUCUU